UCAUGCACCACUACCAGUUGAAGCUGCCAGCAUGAUCUUAACUUCCCUCCAUGGUGGGGAAAGAUCAGAUCAUGUGGCAGUUUCACCUUGUUGUUGGUUGCAUGA
This 105-nucleotide microRNA precursor is filed under the name Lotus japonicus. RNAcentral describes it as "miR167b stem-loop (lja-MIR167b)". Its record names the gene lja-MIR167b. The stretch from base 6 to 97 matches the Rfam family "MIR167 microRNA precursor family". Lineage: Eukaryota; Viridiplantae; Streptophyta; Magnoliopsida; Fabales; Fabaceae. The record is from miRBase by way of RNAcentral.